Long non-coding RNA from Chelonia mydas (Green sea turtle), 5251 nucleotides. RefSeq lists it as uncharacterized. The transcript is spliced from 2 exons. The record is from RefSeq and is a predicted model, not a curated record. NCBI's taxonomy places the organism in Eukaryota, Metazoa, Chordata, Testudines, Cheloniidae.
AUCCGAUGAAGUGAGCUGUAGCUCACGAAAGCUUAUGCUCAAAUAAAUUUGUUAGUCUCUAAGGUGCCACAAGUACUCCUUUUUCUUUUUAGAGUCUACUGAGGUAUUUUUCUCCUUUUUGUGUAAGUGUUCGCAGACAAGCUGUUUCCUUUCAUCUGGAAAAAAACAACUGAGCAGGGAGAACUGCUGUGCUUUGAAACUGUCUCUUGCUUUGUUCUGGCUCUAAAACUGCUGUUAAGGAUAACAUACUAUCUUUGUAAAAUAUCUGUUAUGGUUCCUUCCACUUUCCUUUGUUUCAGAAGACUUCCUCAAGUUCAGUGCCAUGUUUUCUGCAAAGACUUUGCUAAAAUAAUUAUUUUGUUUAAUCAAUUUGGGCCCUGCAGAUCUCCCCUCUCUCUCUCUCGUGACUUCCUUCAAACUUGUGAUUCAGAAUUACUUAAAUUCUUUAUUUCUAAUGACUUUUCAGUUAAUUUAAUAUGAAAGUAUUUAAUUAUACAAGGUGUCUCUCUCUGCUUCCCCUCCUCCCCCAACCUCCUGCCACUUGGAGCUUUGCCUUUGAUUCCAGACACAUGCAGCAGCAAAUUCUGACUUGGCAAUUCUUGUUUGUGUUAAUUAUCACGAAAUUAACCUUAAAAGCACCAGUGGUGCUGCUUUAGUGUGCACAGGAAUGGGUGGUUUAAGCAGAUUAGUGCCAAGUUUGACUGUACAUUAAACUAGGCCAAAGAAAUUGGGAGACAGUGGAAAAUGUCAUGGAGUUGGAGAAAUAAUACACAGGGGUCUAGAGAGGCUAAAAAUAUAGACAUGAAAUAACCCAAUGAGAACUGUGAAUUAGACUUUUUUCCAAUAGAAGUUGUCCCUUCAGGUCAGAGUUGAGAUUUGUUUGGCAGAGAGUGGUUUGAAGAAGUUUGCAUUACUGAUUUUUGCUCUACUUAUUUGGUACCUAGGAUUUUAGUCUCCAGGACUCAGUCACUAAAUUCACUGGAAGAAGAACUGUAAUAGAAGUAUUGGGAGGGGACAGAGGCAAUUGUCAUUCAGUCAGGGGUAAUACAAGAGAAUGCACCUGGGCAAUAAUCAUCAGAAACUCGGAGAUUCUUUGGAAAGAAGAUAAUAAGAUGCCAAAAGAAAGCUAGGGGAGAUGGUGAACGGUAUAUUGGAUAGCAGCUUACAAUGCAGUAAGGAAACCAAGAUAAAGACAACUUUGGGUUGCAUGAGCAGAGGUAUUGCUUCAUGGGCUAUGCCCAUGGUGUUCCCUCUGCACCAGCAUUGAUGAGACAAAAGCUAAGAAUACUAUAUUUACCUCAGCUACUAGAAACACAUUGAUUUGGACGGAAUUCCAAGAAGAAAACUCAAAGAUUAGCUAAAAUUAUUGCCAUUUGUCAAGGGAAUGUUGGGAAUGUAACUGUUUACUGUUUGUACAAAGAGCAAGGAGGAGAUGAAUCCAGUGUUCAGACAGGCAGGGGUGUAUAACUAGGACUAAUGGGAUGAAACUGAACAAAUUAAAACCUCGUCUGACUAUCAGGAAACCUUUCCUGUUACUGAGGUUCUAGACUAGUCUCAGAAGCGGUGGGUAUCCCAUCGCUUUUAAUUAAUUCAAAACUAGACUAGACAAAGCACUUCAGUAUGCAGUGGGGAAUGGAUGAAGCUGGCUUGGGGAUGGACAUAGUGACCUACCUAAAACAGUGGUCCUCCGGUGAUUUUUUUUCAUACUGUGGAGCUCAUCCUUUUAUGCAUCAGCCUCCUGCCUUUAUCUUACAUCUUUCCUGUGAUGGCAACAGUAUUUGGUUAUCUGGAAAAAUACCAAUAGGACAGUCGUGGGGAGACAAUGUGAACAUGAACUCUAUUAAGAUGGUUAUGGCUCCUUGAUUUAGGGUAUUUUGUUACCUCCCCGCUCCAUUUUUUACUUGUAUUAUUUUGUCCUUCCAGAACAGGACUGCAUUUAUUAGGGCUGAAUCUCCUUUCAUUGCCUGUGGCCCCUCCUGAACUAAUCUAUCCAGGCCAUGUUACUUUGGUCCUGCUCCCCCACCCUUUUUUCCCCCCACCCUUCUAGUCUUGGUGUCAUUGGCAAAUUUCCUCAUUGUUCAACUUAUGCCAAGGAAACACAUGACAGACACAAACCAGCUACACAGGAUCUUGAGUUAAUUAACUUCUCUGAAAGAGUCCUGCACUGGGUUACAACUAGCAGGAUGAAUCACUCAUUGAAGUUAAUGGAUACUUCACCACUGCAAUAGAUGUAACAUUGCAGGCACCUGGCAGUACUUCAUGGACCAGGGUUUGAAAAUUAUCAGCCAAAUUGAAUAGGUAUUUUCUGCCUCUAACAUCUAUAAAAUAUAUUAGGACUAUGGAACUUGACAGAAGUUCUCAUCUGAUUUGCAAGAUGAGUCUAGACGAAGCAUGACACUUUAAAGUGAGAGCUUCAGCGUUAGUAUUUGGAAAUGGUAUAAAACUGUAGCGUAUAGACAAUAGUUAAAGAGUCCAGAUGACCCCAGAAAUGAAGUGUGCUCCUCUGUAUUAGCUAGCACAUUGGUAGUAAUGACACUAUGAUAUAGCACAACUUCUGGAGUUGGCGACUUGUCCGGCAGAGAGGCCAGGGAUCUUGGGCAAACUAUUUUGUUUCAUACCUCCAUAAGAAAAAUGGGGCUAAUGAUACCUUUCUAAAGCCUUUAGAGGUCUGCGGAUGAGAAGUGCUGUAAGUGUUGCUGAUCAUAAUCCUUUCCAUUCCUAGUGGUCCUGAAGUUUAUAUUUCUUCGUGGCUGUCCCCCGUCUCCUGCAUUGUUCUGGCUUAGGUAAUGCCACCACUUAUCCUGCUCAAUUUAAAACAAAAGUAAAAACAAACAGACUUGCAGAUCUGAUCUCUAAUGUGAUACGGCAGAUGGUAAAAUCUGAAAUUAGGCAGCAGCAGUCUCUUAUCUGAGGCCUGUAAACAAAGCUGAACUGCAAAAUUUUCUUUAAUGAGCUAAAUGUAUUCCUGGGUGCUGAAGCCUCAAACAGUAAAGAUAAAAGGGGGCAUUUAGCAUGCAGUGAGUUUCUAAACCAACCUUUUUAUUCAUUUCAGCCCCCCCAGAAAUCAUUCCAUCCAACUCCAGGGCUGUUAGAAUGCCCUAGAAUGCAUCAUUUGGUGAUGUCAUAAUUAUCCCUGGGGCCAUGCUAUGGCAUGGAGCCAGGCUAUUUGUAGCUAAGGUAAGUGGCAUUUUUAUUAUAUUGAUGUGGUUUUUGAAAGAUGCCAUAUACCCUUUGUGGUUAGAAUUAAUUUUGCAAAACCGUCCUCUAUAAUAAAUGCCGCUUACCUGAGACCCAGCUCUGCUCUCCACGGGGGCUAGAAUGGAAGUUCUGAUGAUGCAGAAUUAUGUAUUCUGGAGUGUCAGCAGAGCAGGACUUGGCAGUGGGUAACAUCAAGGAGAUGAAAGUGUUGUGUGAGUUAAAAAAACCACAGCUGUUUGGGCUGGCACAUUAGUGUUGGCUAUGGCAACUGCUACUCAGGGUAGCACUCUCAGCUCAUUGCAAACAGAAAAGGAAGCUGUCUCCCAAAUUUUAGCUCUAAGAAAACUUAUCCUGUGCGUGAACAAGUAUCAGGUAUUCGUGCCAUGUGAUCUAGGGGUAAUGUACAUAUGGUGUGUGUGUGUGUGUGCGAAAUUGAGAGGAAGAGAAAUAGAUGCUAAAUCAGAAAGCAGCAGGAGAGCCUAGGGAAUUGGUAAGUAGAACGGGAAGGAGUACAAUUAUAUAUUUGCAAAAAGAAAAGACGUACUUGUGGCACGUUAGAGACUAACAAAUUUAUUCGAGCAUAAGCUUUCGUGAGCUACAGCUCACUUCAUCGGAUGCGUUCAGUGGAAUUCAGUUUUCCACUGAAUGCAUCCGAUGAAGUGAGUUGUAGCUCACGAAAGCUUAUGCUCGAAUAAAUUGGUUAGUCUCUAAGGUGCCACAAGUACUCCUUUUCUUUUUGCAAAUACAGACUAACAUGGCUGCUAUUCUGAAACCUAUUAUAUAUUUGUAUUUUACUGGUAUUUGAUACUCAGUUUCAGCGCCUUAGUGGCUUACCUGAAAUAAUUUGGGGGUCUCUGUCCUUGAUAGGUCACGGAAAACUGCUGGUGCUUAAUGGUCCCCUUGAAAUCUCAGCAGAGAGGCCAAGUUUUGAAUGGAUCAUGGUGACCGUUACCCACUCCUUGCAAUAGAUAAGGUGGGGGAAGCUUGUACUGCUACUGCCCAAAGUGCACCUGUUCCUGAAAAUGGAUGGUUGCGUAGAUAAUAUUGCAAAACAAAAGUUGGCAAUGUUCAUUUGGCCAGUAUGCUAUUUCUGUAGGAUUGAGUGACGCAGAGUUCUGUGCUAGCCAAAUCUGAGAGCCAGAGGCUUUCAACCAGUGAUGUGCAUCCUCCCUCCUUCUCUUUCUAUGCCUUAUUUCUGGUAUGAAAUAAAAAUUUUAAAUUGAAGCAUAGGGGGACAGCCCAGUGGUCCCAGCGGUAAUUCUGAGUGUAGCAGAGACAUCACUCCCAGCUCAAAACUUGUAACGGAGGCUGGAAGCAGAAGGCUGGCUACCAAUUGUAUAAGCAAAUAGCUUUCCUCCAAAUAGAGGCUGCCAGACGUCCAGAGGACUACAGAGAUCAAAAAAAGGAACACGCAAGGUAAGCAACACUUUCUUGUGGUAACAACUAGGAGAGCAGCUAGGCCUGCUCGGGUCCUGUAAACCGACAUUUAUUCCAGCUGAGUGCAGGCGUGCUCAGAGAGAGGCUCCUGUAGUAGAGACUAAUGGAGAUGGCACGGCCAGUAAAUCUGUCAGACAGCAAUGGGUGUAUUUCCGCAUUAGACCAUUGUCUCAGUGGGCCAGAGUCAGAUUUGAGGUGGAAAAUAUCAACCACUGUUUUUUGCUUUCCUCUCUCUUCAGGUAGCCUUUCUGAAAAACUCAUAAACCACUGGCAAACUCUUGGGCUGGUAUCAGGUGUGAUAGGCUCCCAGGCUAUUUUACCUUGUGCUGUCUUCACUCAUAUUUAGCCCUCAGUCCAACAUCGCUUUAUAGAAUUUAUUGAAGAGACUCCUCUGGACACCUUGUGUUCACUGUCUUUCAGAUGAGAGAGAAAACUGAGAGUCGGUCUGCCUGCUGAUAAAGAUCUCUAACUCGAUUUAUGCAGUGCCUAUCACUGUGGUAUCUGAGCAAAACUCUCCCCAAGAGAUGGUAUUAACCUAGCUGUCCUGGCUAAAUUCCAAUAUAGGUAGAAUGUGAUUAAUCAUCUAAUUUCCUUCCUAUAGUUUCAGUUGGAUGCA